UUAGCUGACGUAGUUCAUCAGACGACCAAUAAGGCGUGUUUUAGAUAUAAGGAAUGGAUUGUCCGUUUUUGAUCAGAUGCUGUUUAAUCCCGGUGUAUUCACAUCACAACAAAUUAGCCUGUGAGGAUAUUGUUUGCACAUGAUUCAUCUGCCUGUGCACCACUUGAUACUGGCCCAGUUUCCUAUAGAUCUGGUGCCGGUAACAGCAGCAGAGGAAGUGAAAGAAGCCGUUCAGUCUGUGUUGACCGCCUCUUUCACAUCAACACGUCUCUUUGUUGUGGAGGAUGGUUGUUGUACAAGACUUCAUUUCUGGUUUAGUUGCUGUUGACCUGGAUCUGAAUGCAGGCAGGAGGCAGGCAGAAUCCCAGAACAACACAGAACUUGGGUCCCUGACAUCAUGGCGGAUUUUUGAGUUGUAAAUACAUGAAGACACAAACUCUGGCUGGCAUUUGAGGAGAUCGUGUCAUCUUGAGAUUCCUUCAGGAAUACACUGCCUUCUAAGAUGUGUCAGCUACCAAUUAUUGUACACAUCCAGAAGUGUCUAACAAGAAUUUUCCAAGAAAACCCUGACAUCUGACAUACGCUAUUUCUGAGGAAUUUGAGACUGCAAAAAGGGCACAUAAUUAUUCAGCACUCAUGGCAGAAUUUUUAGAAUGUUAACAUAAUCUAAAGGCUGACAGUGAGAAUCUCUUGCUUUAAGUUAUGGUCAACACUUUCUGCAAUGCUGACCCGCUAAACACUGACAUCUGAUUUAAGCUAAAGUAUGAGGUGUGAAAAUGCAUCAUCACACUUUGACUAGAUAAAAGCUGUGAAUGUUUCCACUUGAUAAAGAUGCACAUAUUUAUUGUAGCUGAAAAAGAAGUAACCAAGCAUUAUGUUUUUGUUUUUAUUGACCUUGUACAAAGAGUGAUUAAUCGACUCUUAGAAAAACAUAAGAUUUCAGGAUGUUUUCUUUUUCUAGCAACAUUAACACUCGCAUUGAUUACAUGUGUAUUGUUCAGGAACACCUCUGAUCAGACCUGACAUCACCUUCAGCUGCUUUUCUGCAAGUCACAAAAAAUUUCAUUAUUGGAAUUUUAGGUCCAUCAAAACAACAUUUUGUAAAUAUUUGUAUGUACUUCAUACCCACACACAUCAAACAUAUGCUCAAAUGAAACUUUGUCUUGUGGUGUAUUCUGUCUGUGUCUUCAAGAUGCCGUAGCCGAAGUCAGUACAACUGAAUCUCGAGGAAACCUUGGCCCGAUCAUAGAGCCCUGAUCUCUGGACAGAGUCCCUCUUAUGACCAACACAUAUUCUCCAAAUUAAACAUAUUACCACAUGCAUAUGUUCCAGAUUUACGUCACGUUUGAGUCCUGGCCGGAUUGUUUGCUUAUGCACCUGGAAUCCACCGAUUGGAUUAUUUUUCAAACUCAGUGUCUCUUGACCUUUGACCUGACUGUUUUCCUGAAAAUUUCAAAAGGAAUUCCCAUGUGGUCAGACACUUUAGUCUGAAUUGAGUGUCGUUCAAUGAAUGAGAAGUUUUCUCAUAUGAAUAAUUACAUUCCAUAAGGGUAGAAAUUUGAAAAGCUUUAAAAUAAUCAGUCAGCCAUAACCUUAAAUGUUGGUAAAUGUUAGACCUUGAAUGUGAAUGUGGUCUCUAUUCAUUGGAAGGAUUAGGUGUAAUUCAGUGUUCUUUUUGAAUGUAGAUAAUGUUGCUUAGAAAAUUAACAAAAUCCACUCUUCCGACUGACUAUCUGAAGUAGUGGCUUUCAAAUGGUCUGGGUUUGACUUCUUCUUGAGAAGCUGCUAGCUGUAUCGAAGCAGUUGCACAGUAUUUUUGUUUUUGUAACUACUUAUUCAGGGCUGCACAGU
Molecule: long non-coding RNA, 1851 nt
Organism: Gambusia affinis (western mosquitofish)
Lineage: Eukaryota; Metazoa; Chordata; Actinopteri; Cyprinodontiformes; Poeciliidae
Exons: 4
Source: RefSeq, a predicted model, not a curated record